This 82-nucleotide small nuclear RNA is filed under the name Callithrix jacchus (white-tufted-ear marmoset). RNAcentral describes it as "U4 spliceosomal RNA". It matches the Rfam family "U4 spliceosomal RNA", at positions 1 to 82 of the family's 138-position model. From Rfam's summary of the family: U4 small nuclear RNA (U4 snRNA) is a component of the major U2-dependent spliceosome. The structure of U4 snRNA from yeast and human has been reported. U4 snRNA presents a k-turn RNA motif in the 5p-SL related to recognition of Snu13 protein. Lineage: Eukaryota; Metazoa; Chordata; Mammalia; Primates; Cebidae. The record is from Rfam by way of RNAcentral.
AGCUUUGUGCAGUGGUAGUAUAGCAGCCAAUGAGGUUUAUCCAAGGCAUGAUUAUUGCUCAUAAAAAUUUUCAGAAGACAAA